This 51-nucleotide transfer RNA is filed under the name Amynthas carnosus. RNAcentral's name for it is "tRNA-Leu". Lineage: Eukaryota; Metazoa; Annelida; Clitellata; Crassiclitellata; Megascolecidae. The record is from RNAcentral.
CAGAAUAGUGCGACAGGUUUAAACCCUGUAUAUGAAUAAGAUCUCUUGUUA